Non-coding RNA from Oryza sativa Japonica Group (Japanese rice), 462 nucleotides. Lineage: Eukaryota; Viridiplantae; Streptophyta; Magnoliopsida; Poales; Poaceae. The record is from RefSeq and is a predicted model, not a curated record.
GCGCCGCCGCCGCCGCUGCUUGUCUCUCCGACCCUCUCCCGCCGCAACAAAUUUGGGAACGGCGGGGAGCGCUGCGGGGCAGAGCGCAGCUGAAGAGGAAGGACGCUCUUGACUCUAGCGUCCAGGAUUGGACGCUGUAGCUAUGUGCGUCCAGGUCGGGAUGUUGCUUGUAAAAACGUCCAUAACCUGGUUCGCAUGCGUCAUGUGUCCAGCCAAAAUGGAUCGCGUAUUUGGGGUCUCUGGGUGCCGAAGUCUACGCUGUUGGCUACUAGAAGUCAGUGAGUUUCCUCUCCAUUCACCUAUCACUGAAAAAAAGAUCGGCGAUUGACGUUUUGUGUCCUUAAUUAUUUUCUGCGCCCCUGUAUUUAGCUAUUGAAGUGCAAAUAGCUUUGCCUUCAUCCCUUUCUCUAACAGACUGUAUACGUUAUCAAUUUUGUCAAUGUGAUGCAAUCAUUUGCUCUA